CCGGAAGGUGCGGCUGGAUCACCUCCUUUCUAAGGAGCACCUGGCGCGUCUGCCAUCUGGCAGACGCGUCCAGAGCCACAUCUCAGGCGAAUGUCCUGAGGUGGCAGCUCACUAGUGGAGCACUGGUUAUUCGGUCCGUGUACCAGCUCACGUCGGCUAGUACGCCUCUUACCUCGCGUAAGGGGACGGGACGCCGCUCGCGAGGGGUUCGCGGGCCGAGCACGCUGUUGGGUCCUGAGGGAACGGCCGCAAGGCACCCUCGGCCCGGACCGGCCGCCGCGCCCGCAAGGGCGGCAGGCAGCCGGGACCGCCCGUAUCUUGAGAACUGCACAGUGGACGCGAGCAUCACAUCUGUAGUUGCCAAGUUAUUAAGGGCGCAC
This 380-nucleotide unclassified non-coding RNA is filed under the name uncultured bacterium. Its description in RNAcentral is "partial may contain 16S ribosomal RNA, 16S-23S ribosomal RNA intergenic spacer, and 23S ribosomal RNA". The record is from RNAcentral.